GGGUCAGUAGGUUGGUCGUGCCACCGGUACGUACUGGUCUCACUGAUUCCUCCUUCCUGAAGAACCGUAAUGCCAUUAAUUUGGUGUUGCGGGGAAACUGGACUGUUACUUUGAAAAAAUUAGAGUGUUUAAAGCUAGCUAACGCUUGAAUACAUUAGCAUGGAAUAAUGAAAUAGGACGAUCGAUCCUAUUUUGUUGGUUUCUAGGAUUGACGUA
Molecule: ribosomal RNA, 216 nt
Filed under: Glomeromycotina sp.
Lineage: Eukaryota; Fungi; Glomeromycota
Description: partial small subunit ribosomal RNA
Rfam family: Eukaryotic small subunit ribosomal RNA (bases 40-216)
Source: RNAcentral